This 254-nucleotide ribosomal RNA is filed under the name uncultured bacterium. RNAcentral describes it as "partial 16S ribosomal RNA". It matches the Rfam family "Bacterial small subunit ribosomal RNA", at positions 524 to 776 of the family's 1533-position model. The record is from RNAcentral.
UACGAGGGGAGCAAGCGUUGUUCGGAAUCAUUGGGCGUAAAGGGCGCGUAGGCGGCCAGUCCAAGUCUGGGGUGAAAGCCCUCGGCUUAACCGAGGAAUGGCCUUGGAAACUGUACGGCUUGAGUAUUGGAGAGGAAAGCGGAAUUCCCAGUGUAGCGGUGAAAUGCGUAGAUAUUGGGAGGAACACCGGCGGCGAAGGCGGCUUUCUGGACAAUCACUGACGCUGAGGCGCGAAAGCCAGGGGAGCAAACGGG